UAGGGAAUCUUCCACAAUGGACGCAAGUCUGAUGGAGCAACGCCGCGUGAGUGAAGAAGGCUUUCGGGUCGUAAAACUCUGUUAUUGAAGAAGAACGUGUGUGACAGUAACUGGUCAUGCAGUGACGGUAUUCAAUCAGAAAGUCACGGCUAACUACGUGCCAGCAGCCGCGGUAAUACGUAGGUGGCAAGCGUUGUCCGGAUUUAUUGGGCGUAAAGCGAGUGCAGGCGGUCUUUUAAGUCUGAUGUGAAAGCCUUCGGCUUAACCGAAGAAGGGCAUCGGAAACUGGGAGACUUGAGUGCAGAAGAGGAGA
This 313-nucleotide ribosomal RNA is filed under the name uncultured bacterium. Its description in RNAcentral is "partial 16S ribosomal RNA". It matches the Rfam family "Bacterial small subunit ribosomal RNA", at positions 355 to 660 of the family's 1533-position model. The record is from RNAcentral.